UACGAAGGGGGCGAGCGUUGUUCGGAUUUACUGGGCGUAAAGGGCGCGCAGGCGGCCCUGUUUGUCGAGUGUGAAAGCCCCGGGCUCAACCUGGGAACGGCGCUCGAAACGGCAGGGCUAGAGAUCGGGAGAGGAGCGUGGAAUUCCCAGUGUAGAGGUGAAAUUCGUAGAUAUUGGGAAGAACACCGGUGGCGAAGGCGGCGCUCUGGACCGAUACUGACGCUGAGGCGCGAAAGCGUGGGGAGCAAACAG
RNAcentral lists this ribosomal RNA (252 nucleotides) under uncultured bacterium. RNAcentral's name for it is "partial 16S ribosomal RNA". It matches the Rfam family "Bacterial small subunit ribosomal RNA", at positions 524 to 775 of the family's 1533-position model. The record is from RNAcentral.